AGCUCGGCAUGGCUCAGAACACAAAUAAUGGUGCUUCGGUGAGUGUACUUUUUAUUUACCUUUUUGUUCGUAAAAGUCAGUAAUAUUUACCGGACACGUUGCACAUUAACAUAAUUUAUUGAACAAUGUCUACGGGGAACUUUUAGUGAUAUGGCGUUCGUUAAACAUGUGUUAGCUAUUCGUCAGGGUUAUGUUAGCUAGCUAGCGUUAUCUUAGCUAUUAGCUAACUUUAUAUUAGCAUGGUUUAUGAUGUGGCUGCAAGAAAUAUCUGACUGACAGUUUGUUUAACAGCUGCCUAUUAAGUUACUAGCUGUUUCACUUUACCCAAAACAUUAAAAGAAGGCGCAAAUUAUUGCAUUAUAGUGUUAACUGGCAACAGCUUGGGUCGUGGUUGCUCGUAAGUUAGUAGCCCCAUUCACACUGCCGUUUGCAAAAUUACGUUUUCGCGCUAAAUUACAUAAUCGCCAUCAUUAAACUGGACGCUGUCUGACUCCCUCACUCGCGGGACAGAGGCUGUUUUCCGGGGGAAAGUCCUGAUGUCCACUACAGAGGACAUUCAUAAAUUAUCAUUUUUCAUAUGAAAAUAAAUAAGCUCAACUCUGAAAACUCACUCAGAUAUUCAUGAGAUGUUAACUCACUUGAAACUAUAAAAAAAAUAACAUGUUUAAUUUAAGAAUAUCAUGCUUAUCUUUAUUUUUUCCAUAUAAUGUGCUCACACAGUGAUUUAGUUUUUCUCCUAGGAACUGCUUAAUCAACUUUUAGAAAGACUUCGCUCUCGGUUGGAGCAUAUUCUGGGACGCAUGCCUCUGGAUCUGGACUUUUUAGAGUUCACUUGCACACAAGAACUUGUGUUUUUAAAUGCUGUAUCCAGUUAUUUUAGAUUCACUGACACAGCUACACAGUCUUAUCAAUUUGGAAAAAGACAAAAGGGAGCAACACAUUGUAGUUGUGCAGUUUGAGCAAGGACCAGCUGGGCGACGACGAAUGGUCAUAUCCCCAGGGUGCCUUAGCAAACUUCUGGAACUUAAUCUGUCUGUUCCAUGUAUAGCUAAACUUUUGGGGAUGUCUAGGCGCACAUCAUGGCUGAGUCUGAUCUCUCAGUUAAGGUAUUAUACAGCACUAUGACAGAUGAAGCGUUAGAUCAGUGUGUGAGAGAGUUUAAGUCGAGGCAGCCUCACUCUGGAUAUUGAAUGAUGAAGGCCCUUCUGCAAGCCAGAGGACUGAGGGUGCAGCAUAACCAUGUCAGAGCCUCCAUGCACUGUGUUGACACCACUGGUGUCACAAGCCGGGUGGUUCACGUAGGAUGUAUUGACGGACCGACUCGGUUCCAGGACCCCAGUCUUUGAUGCACAGAUACAAACCAUAAAUUGAUUUGGUAAAUUCUUAAGCAAUCUUUUUGACAAAAUGCAUACAUUCAGUGUGUUUGUAAAGUAUGUGGUAUUUUUUAUACUGCUUCUUGUUACUGUAUAUGCACCAUCACAGCCAACCUCUUAAAAUGGUAUACACCUAGUCUAUUACAUUUAGAAACUGUCUGUAGAACACUUUUUUUCUUACUUGCAGUAUGUUAUAUACAGCUGACUAAUUAUUUUUUUCUCUUUCAGCUACAACAUUGUUGUCUUUGGUGGUAUUGACGGUAUUUUCUGUAAGAUAAUGUAUCUUGGUGCAGCCUCCAACAAUCUUGCAUCAACCACCCUGGCUUUCUUCCUAGAAUCUGUUGAGAAGUUUGGUUUUCCUCUCAGGGUUCGUGCUGAUCGGGGAGUGGAAAAUGUCGACGUUGCACGCUUCAUGUUUACAGUCUGUGGCACUGGAAAGAGCAGCUUCAUAUCCGGGAAGUGUUCACAACCAAAGAUUAAAAUCUUCCAGGAUUGAGCGGCUGUGGAGAGACCUGUGGGUAGCUGUAACAUGCAUCUACUAUGAUGUUCUCCACUCCUUGGAAGAAGAGGGCUUCUGCUGUCACUUCGUGUUUCUCCCACACCUGCAGGAUGACCUAGAUACUUUUCGCAAUGGUUGGGACAAUCAUCCGCUGAGAACAGAAAGCCCCUAACCAGCUGUGGGAGCUGGGUCGUACACAUUACACAAUUCCAGGACCUAGAAGCCAAGAGCACAUUCUGUAGUAUUUGAAAGUGUGCCUACUUUUACUGCAUACAACUCAAAAUGCUCCAUUUGUAGGGCAUGGAUAUUCUUUACAUUGAGUGGGAAAACCGCAGACUUCCAUUUGAUGACUAGUCGAGCAUCAUUGUUCCAGACACAGCAUGCCCCCUGACUAAUGACAGCUUUAAGAGAUGCAGUUAACCCAAGAGCUGCAGUUAACCCAUGAACUGCAUCCCAGUCCUUUGGCUGCGAUACUUACAUUGCUGCUGUUCAAUUUUGUGAGCAGUUUCUUGGUCUGUGAAAUAACUGAUCAGAUUGACUGAGUUUAGAGAGACAAUGAAUAAUGUUUUGCAUAAUCUGAACUGUAUUAUUGUUAUUGCUUUGGCAAGAGAGAAAAAAAGAGGAAGGUGCAGCAUAGUAAUAUUACAAAAAUUAAACCAGUCCAGUUAAUUUCACUUUAAACACCUUUGAUUUACUUAAUGUAACACAAGGAACGUUACAAAAAGAGCUUUCACCCCCUUAUAGUUCACUUAACUCCUGCUUCAAUGUUAUCAAUGCAGAGAUGGUUU
Esox lucius (northern pike) is the source of this 2660-nucleotide long non-coding RNA. RefSeq lists it as uncharacterized. The record is from RefSeq and is a predicted model, not a curated record. The transcript has 4 exons. Lineage: Eukaryota; Metazoa; Chordata; Actinopteri; Esociformes; Esocidae.